RNAcentral lists this ribosomal RNA (459 nucleotides) under uncultured bacterium. Its description in RNAcentral is "partial 16S ribosomal RNA". It matches the Rfam family "Bacterial small subunit ribosomal RNA", at positions 338 to 795 of the family's 1533-position model. The record is from RNAcentral.
CCUACGGGAGGCUGCAGUGAGGAAUAUUGGUCAAUGGCCGGAAGGCUGAACCAGCCAAGCCGCGUGCAGGACGAAGGUGCCAAGCAUUGUAAACUUCUUUUGUACAAGGACAAACUUGGAUACGAGAGUCUGACCGAGGGUACUUGACGAAAAAGCAUCGGCUAACUCCGUGCCAGCAGCCGCGGUAAUACGGAGGAUGCAAGCGUUAUCCGGAUUUAUUGGGUUUAAAGGGUGCGUAGGCGGACUGUUAAGUUAGCGGUAAAAGCCCGGGGCUAAACCCCGGCGAGCCGUUAAAACUGGGUGUCUAGAGAGUAGGUGAGGUAUGCGGAAUGUACGGUGUAGCGGUGAAAUGCUUAGAGAUUGCGCAGAACACCGAUUGCGAAGGCAGCAUACCGGCGGAGAUCUGACGCUGAGGCACGAAAGCGUGGGUAUCGAACAGGAUUAGAUACCCGUGUAGUC